UAGCUAUGAUGUGGGUAAGCAUUUAGAAGAUCCUUGAAUCUCUCCUAGCAUUGGAAGAAAGUUUCUUCCUCUUUCUACAAAAAAUUUAUAAUAACCCUUUUAUGCGU
Molecule: small nucleolar RNA, 107 nt
Organism: Magnolia sinica
Lineage: Eukaryota; Viridiplantae; Streptophyta; Magnoliopsida; Magnoliales; Magnoliaceae
Source: RefSeq, a predicted model, not a curated record